Molecule: Y RNA, 92 nt
Filed under: Propithecus coquereli (Coquerel's sifaka)
Lineage: Eukaryota; Metazoa; Chordata; Mammalia; Primates; Indriidae
Description: Y RNA (ENSPCOG00000010102.1)
Rfam family: Y RNA
About the family: Y RNAs are components of the Ro ribonucleoprotein particle (Ro RNP), in association with Ro60 and La proteins. The Y RNAs and Ro60 and La proteins are well conserved, but the function of the Ro RNP is not known.
Source: Rfam by way of RNAcentral
GGCUGGUCCGAAGGUAGUGGGUUAUCAGAACUUAUUAACAUUAGUGUCACUAAAGUUGGUAUACAACCCCCUACUGCUAAAUUUGGCUUUAA